CUAAAAGUUCAUCUGUUAGUGGAACUCAGAUUAUAUUACUUUGUAAAUAAAAAUGUGUGGAUCUCAGGUCAAGCAAUAAAAAUACAUUUAGAGGUGCAAUUGGAAUGCUAAAAGCAGUUUUUGUUCAUUUAUGAAAUAGUUCAGUUUCAUAAUGUCAGGAAAAAUUAACUUGCUCGUUGCCCUUCUCUUUGGAGUGCUGGUGGUGGUAUGUCAGUCAUGGCAAAUAAAAACAGGAUGAAUUGUUUCAUAUUGUUCUAAUUGUCUCAGCAGGCAUCACUAAUCUCUGUCAGUAGAGUAUUAGUCUGUAUUGUAUAUAAGUGCUAGUAACUGAGGACCAAAAUAAUUGCGUAUGUUCUAGAAGUUUAUUAAAGUAAAAAUUCCAUUUUGAAACAAACAGGAAAAUGCCUUUAUUGGAUUCUUCCUAAAUGUUACCCAAGUGACAUUCUUUUAACAUCUGCCUAAAAUUAAGAUUAGAAAUAAAAAUUUUAUUUGGUAACUAAACCUUAGAUGAGAAAAUAAUUUUACCUAUAUUGGUAGGUAAGUAGUCAUUUACUAUAAGGUAAAAUUGAGAAUGGUAUUAAUGUGGCAAGAUUACAUUGAUAUCUUAAUAAUGCUCAAACAGAAAAGCUCUUUUUUUUUCUUUUUUGAGAUGGAGUCUCACUCUGUCACCCAGACUGGAGUGCAGUGGCAUGAUCUCAGCUCAAUGCAACCUCCACCUCCCAGAUUCAAGUGAUUCUUAUGCCUCAGCCUCCUGAGUAGCUGGAAUUACAGGCAUCUGCCACCACGUCCGGCUAAUUUUUAUAGUUUUAGUAGAGACGGGGUUUCACCAUGUUGGCCAGGAUGGUCUUGAACUCCUGACCUCAAGUAAUCUGCCCACCUAGGCCUCCCAAAGUGCUGGGAUUACAGGCAUGAGCAACCAUGCCCAGCCAGAAAAGCUUUUAAAAGAUAAUUCUAAUUGCUUAUGUCAGUCAAGUCACUAAUUUUUUUGAUUUUUAUUUUAGAUACAAAAGUUUUGCAGUACUAUUUCAAUCUAGGAUUGCAGUGCUAUUACCACAACUACUGGCACUCCAUGGUCUAUGUGCCACAGAUGCAGCAGCAGCUUCAUGUAGAGAAUUAUCCAGUCUAUACUGAGCCACCUCUGGUAGAUCCAACCGUUCCUCAAUUCUACAGUGAGGUGAGGAGAGAAGAUGGCACACAGGCGGAAGCAUCAGCAAAUGAUACUUUAACGAAUGCUGAUCCUUCAUCUGUCCCUCAUGGAGCAGUCUAUUAUCCAGUAAUGUCAGAUCCCUAUGGGCAGCCACCUUUGCCAGGUUUUGACUCCUGCCUCCCAGUUGUGCCAGAUUAUUCCUGUGUUCCCCCCUGGCAUCCAGUUGGUACAGCAUGUGGUGGUUCUUCUCAAAUUCAUGGUGCUAUAAAUCCUGGGCCAAUUGGCUAUCUUGCUCCAUCUCCCCCAGCUUCUCACUAUGUACCUCAGGACUUAAUCUUGUAUCUCUGAAGGCCUGGCUUGUCUUUGGCUUGCUGUGAGAUACAUUUCAUCAUCCUUUUUUGCCUUCUCCCUUUCAUCUAUCUGAAGACCACAAGAUGUCCUGUGUUGAUCAGUUCUUCUCUGAGGGGAAAAUCAUCCUGAAUGCUUUGUUCUGUCUCACCUGACAAACAGCUAUUUAAAAAGUGUUCUUUGGUUGCCACAAAACCUAUUUAUAUCACUUUCUUAAAAGGUUAUUUAUGUUUGUGAAUCAGUCUCUCCUUUCCCCCUGUGGCUACACCCUGGCCAAAAAGAACAAUUUGAGACAUCAGGGCUUGAAGUACUUGAACAGUUGAAGGUACUGGAGUGGAACAUUGCAAAGAAGAUGUAUCUUCAAUGUACUGUUCUCAAGAUGAUUGAUAUUGAUGAGUUCUGAAUAAGCCAAUGUAGUAAAGGGUUCUGCUUCAUAAUAGUACUGAUUGGAUUUGUUUUUGUAUCCUUGAUUUUAAGAAGGCCUUGCACUACAAGUUAGCAUCUGACAACUUAAGGUGGAUGGCAGUGCACUAAUGUUUUAUAACAACCAACUGUGUGUAUUAGUGUUUUAACUUCUCUGCUAACCUCCUGGGUUCUCAGUUUAUGCAGCCUGCAAAUUGUGUUUUGCAUAAAGGUUUAUUUUAGUCAAGCUUAUAACAUGGAAUAGCCCCUUCCCAACAUUUUUUGAAUGUGCAAACAUUUCUGAAGUAUACAUAAUUCACAGAAAGUGAUUGUCCUCUGUCUUCAGCUGUCAGUGGUUCACUAGCUUCUAAGGGGUGUUUUAGAAGAUUGUAGUCUUGAGAAUAUCGGUUUGGAAUUUGGCGGGUGUUGAGACAACCACAUCUGCCUUAGAUUUCCAGUAGAUUUUUUUUUUUAUUUCAAACUUACAUAUGCUGCCUUGCCUUGUGCUCUAUUACCAAUUAAUGAAAUUUAAUCAUGAUUGGCAUUAACGUAACCUGGAAGCAAUGUGUGUACUAGAUUGUGAACUAUCAAUUGAGGUCAGUGUUUAUGGCCUGCUUAAAUCAUACAAGUUCUCUUUGUUUAUGUAUUACAAUCAGUCUUCUCUAAGAAAUAAUCAAGGGAGUGAGUCCUGGCCUUCAUAUUGUUGGGGUAGAGGUGAGGGUAACCUGUACUGCUGCAGAAGUCUUUAGUCUUUCUUGGAGGCAGCUGCCAGGUAAAAAGGAAGUGGUUUUUGUGAUGAAAACCAAAACAAAACCCUAACACUUAAUCACCAUAUAGGAUAAACAUAGUGGUAGACUUCUCCUUUUUACAGAUUACCUCUUAAGUUGCUCUUGUUACAAAAGGUAUCCUGUCUUUUCUCUGCUUUUAACCAAAUUUCAUCCAUUUAGAAUUGUUUAGGGAAGGAAAUAUAAAGGCACUGUAGUUUGUUUGGAACCCUUUACUUACAGCCCCUUCUUGACAUGAAUCUGGUUACGCUAAAGGUAAAUAGCUGGAUAAUUUCUCAUAGCCAGGAAAAAUAAUUAAAUUCAUUUGUAUGCUGUAUAUAUUCUCAAAACUGAU
Molecule: long non-coding RNA, 3016 nt
Filed under: Rhinopithecus bieti (black snub-nosed monkey)
Lineage: Eukaryota; Metazoa; Chordata; Mammalia; Primates; Cercopithecidae
Description: lncRNA (ENSRBIG00000045627.1)
Source: RNAcentral